CAGCCGCCGCGGUAAUACGUAGGUGGCAAGCGUUGUCCGGAAUUAUUGGGCGUAAAGGGCUCGCAGGCGGUUUCUUAAGUCUGAUGUGAAAGCCCCCGGCUCAACCGGGGAGGGUCAUUGGAAACUGGGAAACUUGAGUGCAGAAGAGGAGAGUGGAAUUCCACGUGUAGCGGUGAAAUGCGUAGAGAUGUGGAGGAACACCAGUGGCGAAGGCGACUCCCUGGUCUGUAACUGACGCUGAGGAGCGAAAGCGUGGGGAGCGAACAGGAUUAGAUACCCCAGUAGUCCCUGUCUCUUAUAC
Molecule: ribosomal RNA, 301 nt
Filed under: uncultured bacterium
Lineage: Bacteria
Description: partial 16S ribosomal RNA
Rfam family: Bacterial small subunit ribosomal RNA
Source: RNAcentral